UAACAGGCAGUUACGUUUCUCCCACCAUCAACCUCCUGGAUCAUUCACACCUGAAUAUUGUUAUCAAUUCAUCCAUAUGAUAUCCAAACCCUAAAUUCACUCACAAAUCCCCAAUUUCAUCCUUUAAUCUCAAAUCACAUGCGUCAAUCAUCAAUGUUCCUAUCAAUCGAUCACACCAUCCUUUCAUCGAUUUUCACUUUCAAAACCCUAAUCGCUCGAAACUCCUAACCUAUUUCUCCGCACCAAUGAAGGGGCUUUUCAAAUCGAAGCCUCGCACACCUGCGGAUCUCGUCCGUCACCUCCGUCAUCUCCUGCCGUACGCCGCCCCUAAUUCCGCCAUUCGUACAACCAAACGCCUCGAAAAGUCCUGUAUGUGAACUAAGAAAAGUUAUUCUUGAAAUGAGGACGGUACUUUAUGGAGACGAACGGUUAGAACCAGCAGAAGAGGCUUGUGUAAAGUUGACACAGGAGUUCUUCAAAGAAGACACAUGUUACAUGCUAAUAGCAUCUCUUCCUCAUUUGGACCCUGG
RNAcentral lists this long non-coding RNA (530 nucleotides) under Helianthus annuus (common sunflower). Lineage: Eukaryota; Viridiplantae; Streptophyta; Magnoliopsida; Asterales; Asteraceae. The record is from RNAcentral.